Thalassophryne amazonica is the source of this 2178-nucleotide long non-coding RNA. RefSeq lists it as uncharacterized. Lineage: Eukaryota; Metazoa; Chordata; Actinopteri; Batrachoidiformes; Batrachoididae. The transcript has 2 exons. The record is from RefSeq and is a predicted model, not a curated record.
AGUACUUCCAUUUUCAGAGCCCAUAAGUAAUUGGACAAACUAAAUAGAAGGAUUUAUUUAUUUUUUUUUUUCCCUUCUUUUUAAAAUGUGCAUCAAUUUCAGACAGUAUUCUUUUAACAAGUCGGGGAUGGAAACAUGAACAUUUCCAAGUAACUGAAUAGGCCUUGUACUUUAUUUACAUAAAUCAUUAGGAAAUACAAACAAAAACUGAGUUUAGGAGACUAGUGAGAAGCCACCAAGAUCAUUCUUAAGGAGUUACAGAUUUUUGUGGCUGUGACUAGAGUGAGUGUGCAUCAUGCAAGUUUUGUCUGUUGCAACACCAGUUCAUGGGAGAGCAGCACAAAGAAUAAAAAACAAAAAAAAAACAACAUUAAACGUCUAGUUUGCCAGAAGGCACAUGGGAGGCCUGAUUGAUUUUCUUGUGUCAAAAUCCUUCUCUACCACUCCACCAUGAAACUGUAACUGCUGGUGCAACAGACAAGUUCUGGGCCACCCCAGUUCAAGACAUUUGUCCACCACAAAUGGAUCAUUAUCUAGAUCUAGAGUCUAGAUUCUAGACCAAGGUUCACCUCUGGAACACAGCAUCCAGGACUGAUGGCUGAUAUUUGAUCACGUGCCGUUCUCAUGUCUGAUCUAUGAUCUUGAUCCUUGUUCCAAAAAACUCAUCUCUGAGGCUGUCCUUUGAUCCUGUGAUUAUGUCCUUGGUCUUCAACCCCAAUUGCUGAACUUGGACCCUGAAUGCAGACUAGGAAACCUGUUCACUCAUUUCUGAUCCUGACCUUUGAACCUGAUGGGUGGACUUAGAUCAGUGAAGCAGGAUCAAAGAUCAGCAUUAAACUUCAAAGUCCGGAUCAAGGAUGAGUGGCCAAGAUCAAAGGUCAGCAAUCAAGAUUUAAGUUCAGCAAUCAGGAAUGAAGGUCAGGACCAAUAAACAUUAGGGUUAAAAGUCAGGACCAAGAUCUGCACCAAAACUGACUAAGCUUUUCUGUGGCUAAUGUCCCACCUGUCCACCAAGUUUGAUUAAUUAUUUAUCAACAUUCAUUUUUGUAUAAUCUUGCUAACAAUCAAACCAACCAACAAACAUGCAUGUGACCACACAGCCUUCUUGACAGGUUACAAUUUAACAUGUAGAGCCAGGUCAGUAAAUAUUUUGCGACUGAUAGUAAUUUUAAUCCAUCUACUACAGCAUACUGGAGUUGUCUGGAAAUGAUGAAUAUGAUCCUGUAAUGUCACAACUAUAAAUGAGUUAAAGUGACAACAAUAAAAAGCUGUUCUUCAGACUGAGUUAUUCUGCCUCAAUCUCUUGGGCUGGGUAGUUGGUUGAUUGAAAUGGUUAAUGGCUUACCAACAUCAUGAUGUGAAGCUACCAACACAAUACAAUGCCCCCCACCCCCACCCCACUCCGCCAGACGCGCACUAAUUCCAUUGUACUUGGGUGGACUGACGGACUGAUAUGGGCAGGUGGGGGGUACUCCAUGUCAUCAGUGCACAAUUUGGCAUCAGAUUAUCAUGCUGCACACAGAAAAUGUAGUGUUUUUGUGGCACACAGGGAAAUACAAUAGUUCCCUUGCCUGGAGUUAAGUGGAGAUGCAGUGGGAGUUAUGACUCCAGAAAAAAUAUUCUGACUUGCUGAAAGUACAGUAUGUUCAAGAGUGCAACAGGCUGUAUAAUGACGUAGUGAUGCAUCCGUUUUAAGUUGUUACUGAGAUAAGGACAGAGGUGAGCAAAUCCUUCUGUGCUGCCUUCCCACAGAAUCAGAACCAAAAAAAUUAUUGUCCAUCAUUUAUUUAAUGACAUUUAUUAAGAUGAUGACUAAGAUGAGGAGUAUCACAUGUAUUUUGAGGGAGUGUCAACUUUGACAUUAUGGCCAUGUGGCACAUUUCCUGUGCAUGAUCCAGCACACGGGUGCCUGAGUGUUGUGGACUGCAUUGUCUGGAGAAGGCCAAGGGGACACCCAUGCUUCACCUGGCUGCGACAGAUAGAUGGUUACUUUAGUAAGGUGGGGAUGAAUUGGUUGUCUGCAAUCCAGGACCCAAGGUGGUUCAGUGGCGCUGUGGAUGCAGCGAAGCAUGGCACCAGUGCAUGCUCCCAGACUUGACAUUUAUUUCUAGCAAUUAAAUAAUUUUUCUACCCUCCCUAAGCCGAUACCUUCAAAAAUUCCCUCUGCUCUUUAAAAAA